UUUAAACGAAAACAUUGAUAACAAAUCGAUAUUUAUUAUUAUUUUUUUUCUUUUUUUUUUUUUUUUUUUGAAAGUAAUUCUUUAAUCCUUUUAACUUUGCGAAUAAAUUUUUGAAAACUUUCAUUCGACUAACACUUGAGAAUUUUCGAUGGAGUCUUCCUGACGAGUACCGACGACGAUUCGUUCAUUCGAUAUGGUUCAUUGAACUUUAGCCACCAGGUUUGGCAAGUUUCGAAUGGCCGAGGUAUGGUGCCAGUGGGGGGGUGGUGGUGAGGGGAAGGUGAGGGAAAGGAAGCCGAGACGAGAAGGAUUUUGCCGAGUGUCGAAAGAUCGACACCGAUUCUCGCACGUUUAAGCGACAUCCUGUGGAGAGAGAGACAGAAAGAGAGAGACAGACACACACACACACACACACACACAAAGACAGAAAGUGAGAGAGCAAGGUCCAACUUCGUUAGUUUCUCAUGGUGAACUUUCAGGGGUCAAUUCGCGUUAAAUAACAUAGAGAACUGUCUUCGAUGUUAACGACUUGCAUCCUUCUCGUAAAAUAAGUAAUUCAAGUUGUGACCAUACGUUGCAGAUUACAUAUAUAGAAGAUGAAACCACGGUAGUACUUUCAUUCUCAUAUGCACUUUACUUUUGGACAAUGUUAUCAUUAGGAAUACAUAUAUCUUUACAUACAUAAGUAAUUAUACAUGCAUCUAUGUAUAUAUAUGUAUGUAUAUAAAUAUGUAAAUAUACUCAUAUAUAUAUAUAUAUAUAUAUGUGUAUAUGUAAAGGAAUAUUUUACGAGAAAUUCGUUCACGUAUCCUUUUAUUCAUUUUUUUAGAUUCGUUCGAUUAUAUUAACUUCGUUCAUAUUACGUACGUAUUUAUAUUUUUUUGCGCGUUUCUUCAAAUCAAAUACGUGAUACUGAUCAAAAAAAUAUUUAUUAAUAUACGAUAUAUAUAUAUAUAUAUUAAGACUAAUGUUCGUACGAAAAUGAUUUUGCCUUAAGAUCAGAUCGAUAAUAAUACAUAUACAAAAUCCAUUGAGAAUAUAUACAUUUGAACGAAUGAAAUCAGAUGGAAAAAAUUAAGUUAUGUGUAUUUUUCAUUCAUAAUAUAAUAUCCUUCAAAUUGAUCUGUUUUGUGGAUCGUAGUAUUUACGAUAUAUGUAUACGUACAUACAUACGUACAUAUCGAUUAUGACGAUUUAUCUCGUUAAACGAGAGUAGUAUCUUUAUAUCUUUCACUCUAGAGGACAUAUAAACACAUUAGCACGAUUUCCGAGAAAGAGAGAGAAAGAGACAGAAAGAGAGAGAGAGAGAAAUAGAGAAACAGAUAAUGUGUAAACACAGGAUGAUACACGGGUUACUCACGAAAACAGAAAAGUUAGUCUCUCUCAAAGAGUUCCUUCGUGUGGAUGUUGGCAGUCAUACUGUGGUCUUUACUUAACUAAUGUAUCUGCAUUGUGUUACUUAUUUUUAAAGUGUGCGAAAGAAUAAACGUGAGAAGAAAUAAAGAAGUCGACAUUGGAAGGGAAAAUUUUUAUCAUCGAGCUAAACUCCAGAGUUGUAUUAUUUAAGAGGCAACAAAUUGACUUUACAAAUUAGUCCUAGAAUUUAUUAGCCGAGGCACCUAGAUAAGAUAGUAGUAACGUAACCGUUCUCUCGGAAUGGUGUUGGAGGGUAACAAGAGUGAGGAGAUUGGAAGGAGGGGUUGAAAUUUACCAAGCGGACGAGGAUGAGAACGAUGAGGACGAAGGAUGACGCGAUGAGGACGAGGACGACAACGUCGACAAGAGCUUACCUACCUACGCGCUUAAGGCAUUAACUUUGUUGUUUCGAGAGGCACCAACCAAGAAGAGAAGGUAAAGCAAGAGAAUGAGUUGAGAGGAAGGGGUGGAGAGGUGGAGGGAGGAGGAGAGAGUUAAGAUGGUGGGUCACGUUUAUUACAGAAUCCACGUUCUACCUACUCCAGGGCAAACACUUGUCCUUCACGGCUUAAGCUAAAGAAACCAGGAAACCAUAUUUUGAACACAUGUACUUUAUUAUUCGGUACCCAAUGGAAAAAUUGUUCGAACGAGAAAAAUCCAUUUGAUUAUUUUCAAAAGGAUAUAUUGCAUUGGAUAAUC
Molecule: long non-coding RNA, 2115 nt
Organism: Vespa crabro (European hornet)
Lineage: Eukaryota; Metazoa; Arthropoda; Insecta; Hymenoptera; Vespidae
Exons: 2
Source: RefSeq, a predicted model, not a curated record